ACUACGGGACGCAGCAGUGGGGAAUAUUGCACAAUGGGCGGAAGCCUGAUGCAGCGACGCCGCGUGAGGGAUGACGGCCUUCGGGUUGUAAACCUCUUUCAGUAGGGAAGAAGCGCAAGUGACGGUACCUGCAGAAGAAGCGCCGGCUAACUACGUGCCAGCAGCCGCGGUAAUACGUAGGGCGCAAGCGUUGUCCGGAAUUAUUGGGCGUAAAGAGCUCGUAGGCGGUCUGUCGCGUCUGCUGUGAAAGCCCGGGGCUCAACCCCGGGUCUGCAGUGGGUACGGGCAGACUAGAGUGCAGUAGGUGAGACUGGAAUUCCUGGUGUAGCGGUGAAAUGCGCAGAUAUCAGGAGGAACACCGAUGGCGAAGGCAGGUCUCUGGGCUGUUACUGACGCUGAGGAGCGAAAGCAUGGGGAGCGAACAGGAUUAGAUACCCUGGUAGUCCAUGCCGUAAACGUUGGGCACUAGGUGUGGUGGACAUUCCACGUUCUCCGCGCCGUAGCUAACGCAUUAAGUGCCCCGCCUGGGGAGUACGGCCGCAAGGCUAAAACUCAAAGGAAUUGACGGGGGCCCGCACAAGCGGCGGAGCAUGCGGAUUAAUUCGAUGCAACGCGAAGAACCUUAC
RNAcentral lists this ribosomal RNA (626 nucleotides) under uncultured Kocuria sp. RNAcentral describes it as "bacterial SSU rRNA". It matches the Rfam family "Bacterial small subunit ribosomal RNA", at positions 338 to 974 of the family's 1533-position model. Lineage: Bacteria; Bacillati; Actinomycetota; Actinomycetes; Micrococcales; Micrococcaceae. The record is from RNAcentral.